Molecule: long non-coding RNA, 728 nt
Filed under: Volvox carteri
Lineage: Eukaryota; Viridiplantae; Chlorophyta; Chlorophyceae; Chlamydomonadales; Volvocaceae
Description: long non-coding RNA (VCAR_LNC000486)
Source: RNAcentral
UUAAAGGGAUACCCGCCAUCGUCAGAAGAAUUCAGUUUGCUUUGCCAGAUGUUGUUCUGUGUGGUUUGAGCGGGUGGUACAUGAACGGAUGUCGAGUCCAAGCGCUAACUCUCCAGGCAGCUCACACGUGCACAUGCACCAUUUUUCCGGUUGGCGCACCGGCUUCUAUCCGCAGUAGUGGAUGAGCCAUGUGUGUAGGGGGGAGUAAUUAUUGGGUUGCCAUUGGUAGGGCAAAGGCGCAGGGCCAGCGAAAGGGCUGCGCAAGGACGUGUGAACAACCUCAGCGCAUGACUGCAACCUGAUGCGCAAACCUCAUCACACCUUUCGAAGCAAAGGUGAACCCUUGUGUAUUGCCAUCCAAGAACGAUCCACUUUCUUGUCAGGAGUCGACGUAUCUCAGCGCAUGUCGUGCAGGCAACACGAGGUGAUGCAGUGGGUAGCGUGCCGCGCAGGACACACGUGCAUUGCCUGUAGGCAUUGACCUGACGAAAUGACAUGAAGUUGUGUUCUUCGCUGUGGGCAGAACAAAGGGGUUCGGCUGGGUCAAUAGUAUUGCGAUGCACGCAAGUUAUGUUCUUGUAAUAGUAUAAGCAAAUCACAAAAGGUCUAUAUUGUAUCUUUUGUUGGUAGGAAGUGUGCCGAGUAGACCGUUGCCAUGCAGAUGGCGGAAUCCGCAAAAACUUCUGGUUCCAUAAUUUAAAGUUCGGUUGUGACCAAUCAUUUUGCAG